GGAUAUUUGGUUCAGUACAUUUGAAACCAACAAACUGACCAUGACUGCAAGGCAGAAGAGAAAUUUACUGACAGAAGAUUGGGUACCCAGAGAACUACCAGGUGGUUCUAGACCCAGUCUAGGAAUCCAGUGCUGUGUGAUUCUCCACAAGCAGCGAUGCUUAGAGGACAACUGGAUGCCAACGUUGCCAGGCUGUCUCCCUGCCACACCCAACCACCUACCUGAUAGACCUUACUUAUUAGAAUUCCUUCCUCCACUCCUGAAUACAAGCCCCUUUUCCUUCCUGAGGAAUGAGUCUGGGCUGUGUGUGUUUGUCAACCUAUUCAUCAGUGAAAUGUCUCUAAAUUGGUCUUUUUUUUUUUAACAAAUAUUUUCUGGUCAGUUCUGAAAAUACUUUAGAUGGGCUUUUCUAUGAACUUGCUUUAUACAGGUUCUUCUAUGAACCAAAGCAAUUUCCAGAUAUCCAAUUCCCUCAUGAAUCUUUGAUUGAAUCUGGGGUAAAUUUCCAGUCUUAUUCCUUUCACACUUACAGUCUUUAGAUUAGGGCUCAUUUUCACAGCAUGGGGGAUAAUCUGUAUAUAGAUGAGUCACUUUGGAAAGGAGUUAUAUGUUGUCAUUUCAACUAUACCAAUAUGAGAGGACACUAUCAGCAAAGGACUUAUCCAUGACAUUCUCCCCUCUGUUACCACAGCACCAUGCAUAUUUCUUUAUUGUAGUAUUUUGCAUAAUUUUGCUUUGUAAUUUUUGGUAUAAAUAGAAUUGUAAACUCCUUGAAAGUAGUGAUUUAUUUCCAUAAUGUGUGGCACAUAGUUGAUACAUAAUGAAUUCUUGUUAAAGGAAUAGAUGAAAAUCAAAACAGCAUAGAAGUACAAAAUCAGAUCCAUAUGAUUAAAACUACAAGUCCUCCCAAAUAAAAAAAACAAAG
This is a non-coding RNA of Manis javanica (Malayan pangolin), 925 nucleotides long. Lineage: Eukaryota; Metazoa; Chordata; Mammalia; Pholidota; Manidae. The record is from RefSeq and is a predicted model, not a curated record.